CCACCACUAAGCCAGUGGUGAACUCCACAUACGCAUCCUUUGCUGAGGAUACGGUUAACGGAGCGAAAGCGACGUUCAACCGCAAAAGAAGCAGAGGGGGCUUAGUGGUGGGGUGACUGCGUACCUUUUGUAUAAUGGGUCAGCGACUUAUAUUCUGUAGCAAGGUUAACCGAAUAGGGGAGCCGUAGGGAAACCGAGUCUUAACCGGGCGUUAAGUUGCAGGGUAUAGACCCGAAACCCGGUGAUCUAGCCAUGGGCAGGUUGAAGGUUGGGUAACACUAACUGGAGGACCGAACCGACUAAUGUUGAAAAAUUAGCGGAUGACCUGUGGCUGGGGGUGAAAGGCCAAUCAAACCGGGAGAUAGCUGGUUCUCCCCGAAAGCUAUUUAGGUAGCGCCUCGUGAAUUCAUCUCCGGGGGUAGAGCACUGUUUCGGCUAGGGGGCCAUCCCGGCUUACCAACCCGAUGCAAACUGCGAAUACCGGAGAAUGUUAUCACGGGAGACACACGGCGGGUGCUAACGUCCGUCGUGAAGAGGGAAACAACCCAGACCGCCAGCUAAGGUCCCAAAGUCAUGGUUAAGUGGGAAACGAUGUGGGAAGGCCCAGACAGCCAGGAUGUUGGCUUAGAAGCAGCCAUCAUUUAAAGAAAGCGUAAUAGCUCACUGGUCGAGUCGGCCUGCGCGGAAGAUGUAACGGGGCUAAACCAUGCACCGAAGCUGCGGCAGCGAACGUAUCACUUAAAGCGAUUCAGCGGGUUACGAUUGACGGAGCGAAGCGACGUCAAAGCGUAUACAAAGUCGAGUCGGUUUAAGGAUACGUUCGUUGGGUAGGGGAGCGUUCUGUAAGCCUGUGAAGGUGGCCUGUGAGGGUUGCUGGAGGUAUCAGAAGUGCGAAUGCUGACAUAAGUAACGAUAAAGCGGGUGAAAAGCCCGCUCGCCGGAAGACCAAGGGUUCCUGUCCAACGUUAAUCGGGGCAGGGUGAGUCGACCCCUAAGGCGAGGCCGAAAGGCGUAGUCGAUGGGAAACGGGUUAAUAUUCCCGUACUUGGUGUUACUGCGAAGGGGGGACGGAGAAGGCUAUGUUGGCCGGGCGACGGUUGUCCCGGUUUAAGCGUGUAGGUGUGUGUUCCAGGUAAAUCCGGUUCACUUUAACACUGAGGCGUGAUGACGAGGCACUACGGUGCUGAAGCAACAAAUGCCCUGCUUCCAGGAAAAGCCUCUAAGCAUCAGGUAACAUCAAAUCGUACCCCAAACCGACACAGGUGGUCAGGUAGAGAAUACCAAGGCGCUUGAGAGAACUCGGGUGAAGGAACUAGGCAAAAUGGUGCCGUAACUUCGGGAGAAGGCACGCUGACACGUAGGUGAAGUGAUUUACUCAUGGAGCUGAAGUCAGUCGAAGAUACCAGCUGGCUGCAACUGUUUAUUAAAAACACAGCACUGUGCAAACACGAAAGUGGACGUAUACGGUGUGACGCCUGCCCGGUGCCGGAAGGUUAAUUGAUGGGGUCAGCGCAAGCGAAGCUCCUGAUCGAAGCCCCGGUAAACGGCGGCCGUAACUAUAACGGUCCUAAGGUAGCGAAAUUCCUUGUCGGGUAAGUUCCGACCUGCACGAAUGGCGUAAUGAUGGCCAGGCUGUCUCCACCCGAGACUCAGUGAAAUUGAACUCGCUGUGAAGAUGCAGUGUACCCGCGGCAAGACGGAAAGACCCCGUGAACCUUUACUAUAGCUUGACACUGAACAUUGAGCCUUGAUGUGUAGGAUAGGUGGGAGGCUUUGAAGUGUGGACGCCAGUCUGCAUGGAGCCGACCUUGAAAUACCACCCUUUAAUGUUUGAUGUUCUAACGUGGACCCGUAAUCCGGGUUGCGGACAGUGUCUGGUGGGUAGUUUGACUGGGGCGGUCUCCUCCUAAAGAGUAACGGAGGAGCACGAAGGUUGGCUAAUCCUGGUCGGACAUCAGGAGGUUAGUGCAAUGGCAUAAGCCAGCUUGACUGCGAGCGUGACGGCGCGAGCAGGUGCGAAAGCAGGUCAUAGUGAUCCGGUGGUUCUGAAUGGAAGGGCCAUCGCUCAACGGAUAAAAGGUACUCCGGGGAUAACAGGCUGAUACCGCCCAAGAGUUCAUAUCGACGGCGGUGUUUGGCACCUCGAUGUCGGCUCAUCACAUCCUGGGGCUGAAGUAGGUCCCAAGGGUAUGGCUGUUCGCCAUUUAAAGUGGUACGCGAGCUGGGUUUAGAACGUCGUGAGACAGUUCGGUCCCUAUCUGCCGUGGGCGCUGGAGAACUGAGGGGGGCUGCUCCUAGUACGAGAGGACCGGAGUGGACGCAUCACUGGUGUUCGGGUUGUCAUGCCAAUGGCACUGCCCGGUAGCUAAAUGCGGAAGAGAUAAGUGCUGAAAGCAUCUAAGCACGAAACUUGCCCCGA
Molecule: ribosomal RNA, 2419 nt
Filed under: Salmonella enterica subsp. enterica serovar Derby
Lineage: Bacteria; Pseudomonadati; Pseudomonadota; Gammaproteobacteria; Enterobacterales; Enterobacteriaceae
Description: partial 23S ribosomal RNA
Rfam family: Bacterial large subunit ribosomal RNA
Source: RNAcentral